Molecule: small RNA, 149 nt
Filed under: Lactococcus garvieae
Lineage: Bacteria; Bacillati; Bacillota; Bacilli; Lactobacillales; Streptococcaceae
Description: Listeria sRNA rli38
Rfam family: Listeria sRNA rli38
Source: RNAcentral
UUGAGUGGGAAUAAAGAGCUAACUAAAUUUGAGUUGAGAAAGCCUAUUUUACCGCAUUUCUUGAAAUUAAAAAUGGAUAAAAACUACUAAAUACAACAUAGUUCCCUGCCAAAUUCCCUGCCAAGAAUUUUUCUUUGUAGGGAGUUUUU